Nymphaea colorata (pocket water lily) is the source of this 3765-nucleotide RNA transcript. It is a transcript of the gene named villin-1, with no coding region annotated. The record is from RefSeq and is a predicted model, not a curated record. Lineage: Eukaryota; Viridiplantae; Streptophyta; Magnoliopsida; Nymphaeales; Nymphaeaceae. The transcript is spliced from 24 exons.
CCCCGCCUCCUUCUUUUGCCAGCAGGGCAGAGCAGAGCAGAGUCGAGUCGAGCAGCAGCGAUGGUGGGGUCUCCCCCUCUCCCAUGGCCACCGAGUCACGCAUGCUGAUUGCCGCCCUCUCUCUCCAUCUCUGCAGCCGUCACUGUCACCCCUCCAUUCUUUAAUCUACCGUCAUCCCCACCCUCCUCUUCCUUCUUCCUUAGCCUGUCCCCUUUUCCCGUGCUUUUGUCUUCUUCGGUCUGUUUCCGGCAUCUACAAUACGUUUUCAUUAUCAAUUGCUCUACUCCGGAUACUUUCUAGUCGAUAUCCUGAGAGGGAGAGAUCCGGCUGGUCGAGAAGGCGCAUGAAUAGGCGAGACACAUAUAUAACUCGUAUCGUGCUGAUCCGAAAGACAUAUAUUCCUGUGAAAGAUGUUGCUGAAUGAUGAUGGUGUUGAUGUGGCUUUUCAAGGGGCCGGCGCGAAGGCUGGCUUAGAAAUUUGGUGCAUAGAAAAUCUUCGCGUGGUUGCAGUGCCUAAAUCUUCUCACGGGAAGUUCUUUUGUGGAAGCUCAUACAUAAUCUUAAAUACAAUUUUUCUUAGAAGUGGAGUUCCUUAUCAUGAUAUUCAUUAUUGGCUUGGAAAGGAUAUGAAACCGGAUGAUUCCACGAUGGCAUCCGAUAAGGCACUUGAACUAGAUGUAGCUCUAGGCUACCAUGCUGUCCAGUAUAGAGAAGUUCAAGGACAUGAAAGUGAAAAAUUUUUGUCAUACUUCAAGCCUUGUAUCAUACCACUUGAAGGAGUGUUUUCUUCAGAGACUGGAAGGUCUGACAAUGGAAGUUACCAGGUCAGCUUAUUUGUGUGCAAAGGAGAACGUGCUGCCCGCGUCAAGGAAGUGCCGUUCUCACGGUCUUCUUUGAAUCACGAUGAUGUUUUUAUACUGGACACGGAGUCAAAAAUGUACCUCUUUAGUGGAUGCAAUUCCCGCAUACAACAAAGAGCAAAAGCGUUGGAGGUUGUUCAGUAUAUCAAUGAAAAUAAUCACAUUGGGAAGUGUGAUGUGGCAGCAAUUGAGGAUGGGAAAUUUGUUGGUGAUCCUGACGUUGGCGAGUUCUGGAGCCUUUUUGGCGGCUAUGCUCCCAUCUCAAAGAAUUCAGCUAGCCUCAGUAACGUAGAGCUUCAAGGUUCCUCAGCAAAGCUAUAUUGGGUAGCUCGCAAGAAACUGUGCCUCAUUGGAGACAAUCUAUUGAAGAAAGAUUUACUGUGCUCAGAUAAAUGUUAUAUGCUUGAUUGUGAUGGGGAGAUUUUUCUUUGGAUGGGAAAGAAUACUUCGCUGACUGAAAGAAAGGAAUCCAUUUUAACUGUUGAGGAUACAAUCCAUUCUCAAGGGCGGUCCAGGAGUACCAAUGUGACUUUUCUGACAGAGGGUUCUGAGACAGUGAAAUUUACAACUUAUUUUGAUUGCUGGCCUCAAGUUUUUGCCCAAAGUCUGUAUGAGGAAGGAAAAGGAAAAGUUGCAGCAAUGUUUAAACAGCAUGGUUUUGAUGUGAGGGAGCUUCCAACAGAGGAUCCUGAGCCAUAUAUAGACUGCGUUGGCAGCCUAAAAGUCUGGCGAGUUGCGUCUCACACCAUAGUGCCUGUUGAAACAGGCAAGCUGUUCAGUGGGAAUUGUUAUAUUUUGCAGUACACAUACCUUGGAGAUGAAAAAGAAGAGUGCAUUUUUUAUGCCUGGUUUGGCAGUGACAGCACCAUGGAGGAUAGAGUGGAUGCUAUCUCUCUCAUGCAUUCACAGGUUGAUUCAGUUGGUGGUCAGCCAGUUAUGGCUCAGCUUUUUGAAGGCAAGGAAACAGUGCAGUUCUUUUACAUCUUCCAGAGAUUAGUCAUUUACAAGGGUGGGCUAAGUUCUGAAUGUAAGAAGUAUGUUGAACAAAAUGGAAUAGCUGAUGAAAUGUAUCAUGAGGGUUCUAUUGCCCUUUUUAGAGUUCAAGGUACAGGUUCUGCGAACAUGCAAGCCAUCCAAGUUAAUCUGGUCUCAAGUUCACUUAACUCAUCAUUCUGUUAUAUUCUGGAGGCAGAAGCAUUUAUGUUCGUUUGGACUGGCAACCUUUCUUCUCCAAAAGACCAUGAUAUUGCUGACAGAAUGCUGGACCAUCUUAAUCCUAAGAAACAACCUAUACAAGUGAAGGAGGGUAGUGAACCAGACAUCUUUUGGGAUGCAAUUGGGGGGAAGAUGGACUAUCCAAAGGAGAAGGAUACUAAGGAAUUUGUUGAGGAUCCACAUUUAUUUGUCUGUAUUGGUAUAGAAGGUGAUCUUAAGGUCAAAGAAAUAUUUAACUUCAGUCAAGAUGACUUGACCACUGAAGAUGUGUUUAUACUUAAUUGCCAUACUGAACUUUAUGUAUGGAUAGGGCAGCAUGCUAAAUUUAGAUCCAAAGAAUCAGCUUUCUCAAUAGCUAAGAAAUUUAUUGACCUAGAUAUUCUCCUGGAAGGGAUGUCCUUAGAGACUGCAAUACAUGUUGUUAUGGAAGGAUAUGAGCCAAAAUUCUUCACCCGUUUCUUCUCAUGGGAUACUUCAAAGGCAUCUAUGCAUGGGAACUCAUUUGAGAGAAAACUGGCAGUUGUGAAGGGACUUGGCCCUAAGCUGGAAACACCAAAAAAGAUUCCUAGAGCAUAUAGAGCGGGUGAUACUAGUAAAUCGUCACAGCGCUCCAGAAGCAAAUCAACCACUUCUGAGAGGACUGCACCAAGAAGCAAAUCCCCAGCAUUUACUGCAUUAACCUCAAGGUUUGAGGCAUCAAUUGCCCCUCAAUUGUCCACCCCACCUGUUGUCAGGAAUCUCUUUGUUAAAUCUUCUGAAGACAGCUUAAACCUGGGAAAGACUUCCAGCAUUUCACCUGGAAUUGAAAGCUCCGAAUCCUGUGGAAUGAAACAAUCAAAAGAGGGGUUUUUGGAUUCUGUUCCAGCAAAAGAAGAGGCAAGUGUAUCUUCGACCGAAGAAAUCCUGACAAAUGGCAAUGAUGCACUAUCAGUUGGCUUGCAAACAUUUCCUUAUGAAAAGUUAAGAGUUUCCAGCAAUGACCAAAUAAUAGGUGUCGAGAUAACUAAAAGAGAGGCAUAUUUAUCUGCUGAGGAGUUUAUGGGAGUAUUCGGAAUGGCCAAGGAAGCAUUUUACAAUCUACCGAAGUGGAGACGGGACAAACUUAAGAAGCUGCAUGAUCUGUUUUAAGGCUUCCGAGUUUGUUGGACAUGCGAUGAUCACUUACCAGCAUGUAUUUACAAGUUUUUGUGCAUAUUCGUUUGCACACUCAAACAUAUGUUUAUACGUGAAUGCUUUGAUGUUUGCCAAGCUAUGAGCAUGCGUGGGGGUACACCUUUGGAGCACUUGUCCACUUUUGUAUUUGCGUAAGUCAUUUGUAUUUUCAUCGAGAUUGGAUCGAGGUCGAGAACAGGAUGGGAAAUUGAAAAUUGAAGGGGUCGGCGGGAGAACAUAUGCCUUCUGAUGAUUAGCCUCACGGGGUACUCUUUUAUCUGACCAAGGUCGCCAUUAUUGACACCAUCAGGACUCCAACAAGAACACCACCCACCAUGACUACUUCAUAGGUAGGCGGCCCAACCCACGAAAGCCUGUCGCUUGGUUUUGUUCAUGUGAUGCCUAUGUUAGCAUUAACUUUUGGCAAUCACCAGAUCUCCAUUUUCAUUGAAUCCUUCGCCGGCCCAUCUUUUAAUUCGACUUUAGUUGCAAAUUAUGACGGUUUGACAAUUCAAUCCAUGUCUCAGAUAAUUGUGCA